UGAUUGAUGGUGCUUGCACCUGAUUGAUUUUGGUCGCCAACGAGUGGCGGACGGGUGAGUAACACGUAGGUAACCUGCCCAGAAGCGGGGGACAACAUUUGGAAACAGAUGCUAAUACCGCAUAACAGCGUUGUUCGCAUGAACAACGCUUAAAAGAUGGCUUCUCGCUAUCACUUCUGGAUGGACCUGCGGUGCAUUAGCUUGUUGGUGGGGUAACGGCCUACCAAGGCGAUGAUGCAUAGCCGAGUUGAGAGACUGAUCGGCCACAAUGGGACUGAGACACGGCCCAUACUCCUACGGGAGGCAGCAGUAGGGAAUCUUCCACAAUGGGCGCAAGCCUGAUGGAGCAACACCGCGUGAGUGAAGAAGGGUUUCGGCUCGUAAAGCUCUGUUGUUAAAGAAGAACACGUAUGAGAGUAACUGUUCAUACGUUGACGGUAUUUAACCAGAAAGUCACGGCUAACUACGUGCCAGCAGCCGCGGUAAUACGUAGGUGGCAAGCGUUAUCCGGAUUUAUUGGGCGUAAAGAGAGUGCAGGCGGUUUUCUAAGUCUGAUGUGAAAGCCUUCGGCUUAACCGGAGAAGUGCAUCGGAAACUGGAUAACUUGAGUGCAGAAGAGGGUAGUGGAACUCCAUGUGUAGCGGUGGAAUGCGUAGAUAUAUGGAAGAACACCAGUGGCGAAGGCGGCUACCUGGUCUGCAACUGACGCUGAGACUCGAAAGCAUGGGUAGCGAACAGGAUUAGAUACCCUGGUAGUCCAUGCCGUAAACGAUGAGUGCUAGGUGUUGGAGGGUUUCCGCCCUUCAGUGCCGGAGCUAACGCAUUAAGCACUCCGCCUGGGGAGUACGACCGCAAGGUUGAAACUCAAAGGAAUUGACGGGGGCCCGCACAAGCGGUGGAGCAUGUGGUUUAAUUCGAAGCUACGCGAAGAACCUUACCAGGUCUUGACAUCUUGCGCCAACCCUAGAGAUAGGGCGUUUCCUUCGGGAACGCAAUGACAGGUGGUGCAUGGUCGUCGUCAGCUCGUGUCGUGAGAUGUUGGGUUAAGUCCCGCAACGAGCGCAACCCUUGUUACUAGUUGCCAGCAUUAAGUUGGGCACUCUAGUGAGACUGCCGGUGACAAACCGGAGGAAGGUGGGGACGACGUCAGAUCAUCAUGCCCCUUAUGACCUGGGCUACACACGUGCUACAAUGGACGGUACAACGAGUCGCGAACUCGCGAGGGCAAGCAAAUCUCUUAAAACCGUUCUCAGUUCGGACUGCAGGCUGCAACUCGCCUGCACGAAGUCGGAAUCGCUAGUAAUCGCGGAUCAGCAUGCCGCGGUGAAUACGUUCCCGGGCCUUGUACACACCGCCCGUCACACCAUGAGAGUUUGUAACACCCAAAGUCGGUGGG
RNAcentral lists this ribosomal RNA (1396 nucleotides) under Limosilactobacillus fermentum. RNAcentral describes it as "bacterial SSU rRNA". It matches the Rfam family "Bacterial small subunit ribosomal RNA", at positions 61 to 1434 of the family's 1533-position model. Lineage: Bacteria; Bacillati; Bacillota; Bacilli; Lactobacillales; Lactobacillaceae. The record is from RNAcentral.